Molecule: ribosomal RNA, 462 nt
Filed under: uncultured bacterium
Lineage: Bacteria
Description: partial 16S ribosomal RNA
Rfam family: Bacterial small subunit ribosomal RNA
Source: RNAcentral
GACGAACGCUGGCGGCGUGCUUAACACAUGCAAGUCGAACGGAAAGGCCCUUCGGGGUACUCGAGUGGCGAACGGGUGAGUAACACGUGGGUGAUCUGCCCUGCACUUUGGGAUAAGCCUGGGAAACUGGGUCUAAUACCGAAUAGGACCACGCGCUUCAUGGUGUGUGGUGGAAAGCUUUUGCGGUGUGGGAUGGGCCCGCGGCCUAUCAGCUUGUUGGUGGGGUAAUGGCCUACCAAGGCGACGACGGGUAGCCGGCCUGAGAGGGUGACCGGCCACAAUGGGACUGAGAUACGGCCCAGAAUCCUACGGGAGGCAGCAGUGGGGAAUAUUGCACAAUGGGCGCAAGCCUGAUGCAGCGACGCCGCGUGAGGGAUGACGGCCUUCGGGUUGUAAACCUCUUUCAAUAGGGACGAAGCGCAAGUGACGGUACCUAUAGAAGAAGCACCGGCCAACUACGUG